RNAcentral lists this ribosomal RNA (234 nucleotides) under uncultured bacterium. RNAcentral describes it as "partial 16S ribosomal RNA". It matches the Rfam family "Bacterial small subunit ribosomal RNA", at positions 100 to 334 of the family's 1533-position model. The record is from RNAcentral.
CGGGACGGGUGAGUAACGCGUGGGUAACCUGCCUCAUACAGGGGGAUAACAGUUAAAAAUGGCUGCUAAUACCGCAUAAGCGCACAGGACCGCAUGGUCUGGUGUAGAAAACUCCGGUGGUAUGAGAUGACCGCGUCUGAUUAGCUAGUUGGAGGGGUAACGGCCCACCAAGGCGACGAUCAGUAGCCGGCCUGAGAGGGUGAACGGCCACAUUGGGACUGAGACACGGCCCAG